RNAcentral lists this ribosomal RNA (347 nucleotides) under uncultured bacterium. Its description in RNAcentral is "partial 16S ribosomal RNA". It matches the Rfam family "Bacterial small subunit ribosomal RNA", at positions 338 to 682 of the family's 1533-position model. The record is from RNAcentral.
CCUACGGGCGGCAGCAGUGAGGAAUAUUGGUCAAUGGGCGCGAGCCUGAACCAGCCAAGUAGCGUGAAGGAUGACUGACCUACGGGUUGUAAACUUCUUUUAUAAAGGAAUAAAGUGAGGCACGUGUGCCUUUUUGUAUGUACUUUAUGAAUAAGGAUCGGCUAACUCCGUGCCAGCAGCCGCGGUAAUACGGAGGAGCCGAGCGUUAUCCGGAUUUAUUGGGGUUAAAGGGUGCGUAGAUGGGUUUUUAAGUCAGUUGUGCCAGUUUGCGGCUCAACCGUAAAAUUGCAAUUGAUACUGGCGGUCUUGCGUACAUUUGCGGUAGUCGUAAUUCGUGUUGUAGCCGU